UUCCUCUUUCUGUUUUAUUGCUUGUUUUGUCAUGUCCACUCACAAGUUCUUGAAACUUUCAUUUUUGUUGAUGGGGGGGGAGUUGGCUUAGUUCGCCUCCCUUUGCCUUUGACUAUACUGUCAGGCCUUUUAUGUUCUUCCUGUGGAUUUUGGGUCACUGUCAGAGAGACUGAGAGAGGGUGUGAGGGAAAUUUAAAUGUGGCUCUCCAAAGGCUGGGAGAGAAUACUGAGUGGCUGGUUUUCCUUUGGGGAAAUACAGAAUUUGUGUCCUAAUUACUGGAGUUCAACCCAGCCUAUGAUGCUUCUGGAAAACACGCUUUGGUGACCAGCUAUUGUGGUGUGCAGUGCACAGGAAGUGAUGCAGUGACGCACUCGACAGGCUCGAAUCAUUCAUGAGCUGACACUGAGGGCGCGGCCUGAUGUAAAGAUGUAAAGUAAUAUCCCAGCAGUGCAUGAGACACAAACAACUUUCAGGAGUGAGAGAUAUAUCAUCGCUGCCAUGUGAAAACUCACAUUUCCCUAAGGUUAGGGUGCCGAUUAAUCCCAGAUGGAUGGAGUCGCCCACACGAGAGGUGACGUGAGGUGAUUCACCAUCACUUUGGUAUUAGUCCCAUAAUGCAAGCUGACGGUGGGGAUUUCAGAAGCAGGGGAGGGGAAGUGGGCGGUCCAGAGGGUUCGUGUUCAGGCCUCUUCUGUGAAUCAUGCAGCCUAGCGUGCGAUCGGCACACUGUCCUCCUCUUGACUCCUUCAUAAGCUCUGUUACAAUAACACACUUGCCUUUCACUCAGGUCCUAACCCCGAACCUCCCCUGUCCAAAACUCCCCCCACCCACCACCACCAACACUCCACUUCUCCAAAAAACACAGGAGGAAAAAGAGAAACAGCCCUGUGCCUACAGUUUUCUAUAAGAUAAAAGCUUUAGGGUAUUUAUUUCGGCCGCUGGCUCCCCUCAAAACUCCAUUGCUGUUGUUAGCAUAACUGUGAUGACAAAGAUAAUCUUUGUUAUUAUUAUUAUUAUUCAUCCCCACUUUAAUUAAUUUCUCCCCGGGGCUCAAAGCAGUAAUAAGGAGCAGACGCUGACUGUCUCUACCCCACUCUACUUCCUCAACACUUAAAUCCCAACCAAGUGCAAGUUAAGGUUAACAGUGCCAUCUACAGUAGAGAGAAAACUAGUCCAUUGUGUGCUUUGAUGAUACUGAUGACAUGAGCGGUACUGACAUGGACAUAUCUGAGGCAUCAGCCAUCUUGUACUGAUGGGUUUUUACCUCUUUGUUAUUUAGGGUGCGUUCAGCAAAAGUGGGCCUCUUUUUGGCAAAUGCACCAGGGUACUACUACAACAAAUAUUCACUCAUACCAGUCAUGUUUUGUGAAAUGGUACGACCCUUCUUAACAUUCUCAUGUACCAUUUUGAAAAUAAAUAAUUAAAAUAAAUGAUGUUUAUCUUUCAUUCUGACAUGAUCAGACUAACAACCUCCACAUUACAGCACAACAGCUUAAACAACAUGAGCCACCUCAUCAUUCUUGUCCAAUAUUAAAUGAAAAUAUAUAAAAUUGCAGGAAUGCUGCAUGAACCAUGUUUAGAAAAGAGUCCCACUUUACUUGAAAUCACAGUACCAGUUUUGCUAACACCCCAAAGUCAAGGAGUUACAGUUUAAACCUUGAUGCUAGCUAAUCUAUAUUAUAUUUAUCUCAUUUACUAAGACAUACAAUAAUAUUGAAGAUUUUAAUCCAUAGGUCUGGCACUUCUAGAGUUAUUCCAUGACGGAUAUCAUGUGAGAUGUGCAGUCUGUUUAAGGGGCCUUUUUCUGUCUGUAAGAUCACAAAUUUCAAUCCCUAUGACAAUCUGACACCCAGUCUAAUUGCAAACACUCUUGAGCAUAAAUCUGAUUCCCAAAUUGUUUUGCAACCAAACAUCAAGUGUGCUCCAAAUGUCUCAUGGAACUAUUCUUUAUUGUGCUGUUUAAAGUAUCACAAAAUAUACAAAGAAAUCCAUUCUCACCUCAUUUAUCAGCAUGAUUCUUGUUAGAAUAGUGCUAUCCCUGAAUAAUUGUUUAUCCAUUUAAGCAGGAAUAAGGCUAGGUGAGUGACAUGAACUAAUUCACAGCUGACUAAUUUAGCACAUCAAUGUCAGAGACUAAACACAAGGAUUCAGAGAUUUAACCAUUUGCCUUGACGAGGGAGAGAAAAAAAGGGCUAAAGACGGACCAUUACUGUUUAUCCUCAGCCUUAUCACUACUGGCAAUGGGCUUGUAAAUAUUAUCCUAUUCUCCUUAAUCCACUGCACAACGCCGUGCUCACCCACUUACCGGAAGCUCCGACAUUUACCUCGGGAUUUGCCGGGGCUUGGGCUAGAGUGGCUGCGAGUAGGAAAGUGCUAAUCUACAAGGCAGAUUCAGGAUUAGUCUGGUGAGCCAGGUGACCCGAGGGCCUGAGAUCUCAUUGGCCGGAGGGGAUGCAGGCCCGUGGUCCGUGGUGGGGGGUAACUGACAAGAGGAAACUAGGAAGGCGAAGGGGGGGUUCUCUCCAACUCUGUUUUCUCGUUGUUUCUCCCCUUCUCCUUUCUCUCUUCCACACUCGUUCUCUCUCGCUCUCUCUGAAGGAGCCCUGAUGAGAAUUCCACUAAUCAUCUGAGGAUUAACAGGGACUCAGACAACACUACAUCUAAUUCCCCCUUCACCGCCACUGGGGCAACAAGAGGCCCCACGCAGCACUACAGCGCACCAGCACUGAACAGAUCACUAUGCAUGUGUAUGCAACUAGUAGACUCAGAUAUGAGGUAGAUAUUCACUUGUUGAUUUAGUCGUAACUGAUCAGUAUGAGCCAAAUGUACUCAUUAAGUUGAUCCAUCAUGCUAACCCUGCCUAGACAUUAUGUUUAUAUACUGCUUAUGUGUUUUGGCAAGUGCAUUUUGAGGUAAACAUAAUUGCUGCCUGGAUUACGGUCAGUGGCAACGUUUUGUCAAAUGAACAAAGUGCUACAUUUUUGUAUUGCUCAAAAGUCGUAGGGAUGUGGUCGGGGGGGAUGUAUGGUGCAUACAGGCGCAAGAUUUUGAUACCGAAAACGAUGGUUUCCGUCUUGAGUGUUCUUUGGUUUAGGCAACAAGAGCAUUUUGGUUAAGAUAUGGGAAAAACUGAGUUUUCAGUUAAAUGUUAAUAAAGUAAAAAUGCCCUAUCUCUUGCUUUAAGUCACUGUUGACUUUUUAAAUAUUUACCAAGAUGACUAUCUUUCCCUAACCUCAACAAAGCACUGUGAGUGUCUAAACAUAACCAUAACAUUUUUUUAUAUUCUUUAGUUGUAAUAAGUGCAAUAAAAGUGUAAUAUGUUGCAAAAGCUCAUAAUGUAUACAUUUAGUUUUGACAUUUUGCGUCUUGGCAGAUAUGUUAAUUAACAACUUCUAAUUCUGUUAAUAUGUUUUCCUCAAAACUUAUUUGCUUUUGUAAAUUAGUGGAAUUUAUUAUUAUUAUUAUUAAAUGACAGGGUUGAUCUUGGCUUUACCUAUUAAAUGCAUCGCUUUUAAUCUCCUCUUUUGUGACAGUAAUUUCUGAGGAAAAGUUUUGGAUUCCAAGACCAGGGAAAAUUUAGGGGAAAGUAAUAAAUGACCACAAAUUGCUCCAGUGGAGUCCACCAGUAGCCAAAAAAUAGUGUAGAGUGUAGUGCUGAAACAACUAGUUGAUUAAUUAAUUAGUCAAUCAACAUAAAAUGUAUUUACAAAAAUUAUGAUAAUUGAUCUGUACAAGUCAUUUAUAUGGCAGAAAUGCCAAAUAUUUUUGUUUUUUGGCAUUUAGACUUUACUGGGCAGUAGAGAUAGAGACACAAGAAGAGAGAGAGGGAGAUAUGACAUGUAACAAAGCUUGAUGGCUGGAAUCGAACCCCAUGGCAUUGCAUAGACUUAAUUAUUAAUUUAUCAAAAAUAUCAGUAAUGAAAAUAAUCAUUAAUUGGAGCUCUUUUAAGUGACUGAGUAGUUCCUUGUGUGGACAUGGACAUGUGCAGCUGUAUUAUUAUACUGAUGCUGAAAUAUGUACUAUAAAACAUUUGACAGAAAAAGACAAAAAUAAGUGACUAAAGAAAUCACUCAUUUUGGCUAAAAUACCCAAAUUGGCUAAGAAUGUGCCGUUCAAACACAGCAAAGCUUAAUGUUUUGGCCUCUGUGUUUUGCUUUAUACUUUCACCUUUUCUUAUUUUUCUGUCUGAGAUGAGUGUGUAUGACUGCUCUGAGUGUAAUCCUGUGUGCUUGGAUAAGAACACGAUGGUCAGCUUGUGUUUUUCAAAGUGACACUGGCAUCAGGAACUCAUUCAUUUUAAUGCCGAGGCUCAUUCACUUACCAGGUCAUGCUGGGCCACCCACAAUGCAAAACUACUUCUAAAAAAUCUGAACAUCAAGAGUGUGCAGUUUCACACCAUGAUAUGUGAUAUUUUAAAGUCAGUAUUUCAGCACUGUUUAAUAUUAAUGCUUCAAACCGUGCAUUGUACCCAUGCACAAUUCAUGAUAAUAUAUUAGAGGCAUCAAGGGUAAGUGGGUUGCAUUUUCAGUACAUUUUGGCGGCAGUCCCGUGCUAUCUCGGAGACAGGUUGGCUUCCCAGCCUCCCACAGUUUUGCAGUAAUGAAGGAGCUGUCUUACCCAAACAAACAGCCUCUCUGGAGAUGUACCUCAACUACCUCCUUAAUCCAGGAAGUCUCUCUUAUCUUCCCACAAAUGGCCCUGUAGUGAGGCACAGAACACUGCAGUGUCAUUCAUCAGUUAAACCCCAGAGCGAUGAGCAGGUACGAUUGCUUCAUGUUGGGAAAGUGAAAAGUGACAGCACGCACUCUGGUGGCGUAGAUCAGGGCUCUGAGCUCAGUUUUGUCCGUCAGACGUCAAUCUAUGUGUCACAAUCCUGAAUCCACACAGAAUGAUGUGCCUUUAUUUUUCAUUGGCAGAUAUCAAUGCUUCUAUUACUCAAGUCCCCCUGGUGUGGUGGUGCUGUUAUGUUGUGCAUCGAGGAUUUUAAGCUUAUUCUACUGUGGCAUUUGUCAUAAAUCUUCCAAGACAAGAGCAUGUUCAAUACAGUUAAAAUAUUCUGAAGCAUGCUGUUGUCAGACACUCUUAACAGGAUUUUAUCUAUCACAAAAAAAUCUCAUUUUUAGAUACUUGUAAUUUUCAUCAGAAGUUUUGGCAGGCCAAAUUCAGUUCUGCCUCAAAAUAAUAUUUUUUCUGCAUGUUCCAGCAUCAGUUUUAGAUUUAUUUGUUUUUCCCCCCAUUUAUUAAUUAUUUGAGUUGGCUAAGAAUCAGUUAAAAACUUAAGAUCCCGUGUUUGGAAUUAUUUCCUAAUUGCCCUUUAUGUCUUUAAAAGACUCAAUUAAAAGUUGGAGGUAAAAUAAACUACAAAGUAAAAGAAUCAUCAUUUUUAUCAACAAAUUUCCUCUGACCAGUACUCUUUGCCCCAUUUUCUUCAUUUUGCUUUUAAGUAUUUUUUGACCUAAUUUUUGUCAGACUGGUGGAUGAUAAUAUGACCACCUCCACCACCACUGAGGUGGUCAUAUUAUUACCCAACACCAAAUUUCUUCAUCACGUAGCAAUGAUAUUUACACAAUGAAAAGUGUCGGAUGAAAAUGUAUGGUUUGAUGGCUUGUCCAAAGAGAUGGCAGUGCCUGAAGGUGUUGACAAGAAGAAAAUGGAGAGUUUGGGAGUGAGGACUUGCAGCAGAGAAAAGUAAUUUGUGGAGGAGUUGUGACACUUGGCGCCACUCAUUAGACUACUUCAUAGAGAGCUAAAAGCUUUGCUUCUCCCACAGAACACACUCCCACACAGCGCUGACUGGACCAUGUCAGGCACAGUGCUGUCGAUGGAAAACCAGGAAUCCACAAAAGAAAGUUUGUCAAAAUGAAAAAAGAAUGUUUAUAUUGUGCGCAUGUACAGUGAUUUAAAAAAAAAAAAUAAGAUUAUGCUAUUGGGUUUUAAUAAGGUUAAAAGGAGCAAGAAACAGAACUAACACAUUACAGCUUAGUAACACACACACACACACAUAUAUGCUCCAAAUCAACUUCUGGCAAACGUUUUUUUUUAAUUGCUGCAGAAGUUGGCAAUGUCAGUAUUGUGGACCAGGAAUGAUGGUUUUGUGAAUUAUAAUUUUCAUACUUAUGAUAAUAUACAAUGUCUGAAUACUACUACUACUACUAAUAAUAAUAAUAAUAAUUUUAUAAGAAGAAUUUUAAUAAUAAUAAUAUUAUAAUAGAAUGAAAAUGUCAUACCAGCCAUAAAACACACACACUUCCACAAUGCAAAAUUGGUAAGGAAAAACAACAACAUAACUUAACAUAAGUUACAUGCAUAUAUACCUGCAAAGACAAAUAUGUUAUUUUAGGUCUUUAAUUACACAGUUGAUAAUUUCAUAUUCAGUACUUAUUACUUCAGUACUAAUUAAGUAACUAAUUUAUAAAAGAAAUAAGAAUGAAUAAAAUAAAAUAACGAAUUGACUAUUACAAAACAUUUUCUACUUAUAUUCUUUUUUUUCUCGAUCAUUCUAGUAGCCUACAUUACAACAUUUUUUCUGAGGCUCCCACUUUGCUUUGUUAUGUUGAUAAUUCAAAAUUUAAAUAUUUUUCUUUUGCUGCUACACGCAUUUCCUGUGGGUAACAGUCCUCACUUAUAUGUCUAGAAUGUUAAUUCAAUGUAAAAGGUUUAGGGUUUACAUUACUGUGAUACUUUGGGGUUUACAAGCAAGAAUAACAUUUUUAAUUUGUACAAUUUGUACUUAUAUAUUAAUACCAAAAUAAAAUAGUCAUAUUUGUCUACUCUAGAUGUUUUCCAUGUUUUAAAGUUGUUUUGUCAUUUGUUUCUGUACUAUA
Long non-coding RNA from Siniperca chuatsi (mandarin fish), 6827 nucleotides. RefSeq lists it as uncharacterized. The transcript has 4 exons. NCBI's taxonomy places the organism in Eukaryota, Metazoa, Chordata, Actinopteri, Centrarchiformes, Sinipercidae. The record is from RefSeq and is a predicted model, not a curated record.